Molecule: ribosomal RNA, 253 nt
Filed under: uncultured bacterium
Lineage: Bacteria
Description: partial 16S ribosomal RNA
Rfam family: Bacterial small subunit ribosomal RNA
Source: RNAcentral
UACGGAGGGUGCAAGCGUUGUUCGGAAUCAUUGGGCGUAAAGGGCGCGUAGGUGGUUCUGUAUGUCUACCGUGAAAGCGUACGGCUCAACUGUAUUUUGUCGGUAGAAACUGCAGGACUUGAGGCUGGGAGGGGCUGGUGGAAUUCCCUGUGUAGCGGUGAAAUGCGUAGAGAUGGGGGAGAACACUCGUGGCGAAGGCGGCCAGCUAGACCAGUUCUGACACUGAGGCGCGACAGCGUGGGGAGCAAACAGG